CACACCGCCCGUCACACCAUGAGAGCUGUUUAUACCCAAAGUCGUCUUAGCUAACCUGAAAAGGAGGCGGGUGCCUAAGGUAUGUAUGGUGAUUGGGGUG
RNAcentral lists this ribosomal RNA (100 nucleotides) under uncultured bacterium. RNAcentral's name for it is "partial 16S ribosomal RNA". It matches the Rfam family "Bacterial small subunit ribosomal RNA", at positions 1386 to 1482 of the family's 1533-position model. The record is from RNAcentral.